Molecule: RNA transcript, 1849 nt
Organism: Manihot esculenta (cassava)
Lineage: Eukaryota; Viridiplantae; Streptophyta; Magnoliopsida; Malpighiales; Euphorbiaceae
Exons: 4
Source: RefSeq, a predicted model, not a curated record
AUCUAAAGACGCGGCUGAAGAUGUUCCAAUAUGAUGGCGUAUCUGACUCGAAGUCAAAACUCAAAAUGAUCCGUAAACGAAACAUGGGUAGGGCUAAGCAAGCCACUGCUCUUGCCAUUUGCCAUACAUUAUGCAUUAAUUCAGUGUUUGACCAAAAGGUGAUUCCUUUUCUCCUGUUAAAGCAUAGGCAAUCUCCUCCAAAACUUUAGUUCCCAAAUCCGCACCCAAAACACUCUGUGGAAUAUCCCCGUUACAAGUUACAUUCAACCUCUUCUUUUCUGUUUCUUUCUUGCUUACCUUUGAAACUUCCAUAUCAUAUUCCUAGCCAUUACUCAUUGCCCAUAUCAUAUUAUUGUAGCUUAGCUUCAUUACCAGCACAAUAAUCUCUCUUCAAUACACAAUGUAUCCAAAGGUUAAGGUUAGAACAGAAGGCCAAGACGAUCAACAUGCUCAUGCUGCGCAUGAAUAUAAUUGGAAUUCCUUGCUUUCUUUGAAGGAUAUUCAGUUUCUCUUACUGCAGGAUUCUUAUUUUCCUGGUACUUCUAGCUCUUGUCUAUUCUAUGCCAGUCUGCCUUUAUUUUCAAUUCUUCUAGAUUUAUAUUUAUUUGCUAUUUAGGUUAAAACUGGAAUCUGUGUUGUUUUAAAAUAGCUGUUUUGGAUUGAUUGAACCAUACUGUGUAAUUCUAAUGUUUCUGAUACUUAUCUGCUAAGUCUUUGUGGUUCAAAUCAUAUGAUCCCCAAAUUUGUUUUCAUGAGAAUUAUGAUUCUAUCAGCUUUUGUUGCCUAUUUAAUAUUAGACUGAGAUUCUCCCUUUUGGUACUAUGGGAAUGGCAUUUUCUCUUUAGAAUUCCCAGCUAUUCUUGCUAAUAACACGCAUGUCACAGCCAGUAAUUUGUGGUUGGGGUUGAGGGGGAAUCUUAUCAUUGUUUGACAAGGAGUAUUUUAUGUAACAGAAGUGAUCGUUUGCUGGGUGAUGGAUGAAUUGAAGGAAGAGUGAAGGAGUUCCGAGAUGUUUCUCCGUCGUCCACUGCAAGAAUUCCCAAGCCUUCUUUACCAAACAUAAUCCUGCAAACAGAGUCUGCUUCUGAAGAAGCAGAUAAGAAAAGCAAUUUUGAUGAGGAGGAUAGACCAAAUAUUAGAGCUGGUUCAGUCCUGCGUCCACGUGCUGUCUUAUCUAGCCCUGGUAAUUUCCAUUUCUCGUUCAACUAUUUUGUUGUAAAUUCAUUGUUUGUUUUUCUUUCUAACAAUGUCAUAUCAUCUGCUAUAUCGCGUUCGGAACAUUAGAAUAAUCACACACAUUUGAAGGGAAUAGGUUGUUUGCAUUUGCUUCUGCUGCCACAUUAUCAUAAGCAUACCACAAAGGCCUCUAACUCUUGGCAAUUCCUAAUGUUGUGCUUAGACAAUGACACAAUGAUCGGAAAUAAAAACAGUGUGAAGGCUCCAAGACCUUCAGCUUUGAAGAAUCAUCAUUCCGUACAAAGUAGACAUGCACAAUGUAAGGUUGCCUCAAGUCAAGCCGUUGAUGACAGUCGUCUGAACACUAGGAAGUCCAAGGACACUACCGAUACUAAUCUUAAAGGAAAGAAAUGGUCAACUACUGCAAUAUCAAGCCGGAGAAGAAAUAUUACAACUGAUAAACCAAGAUCUGUAAGAAUCUCAUAGUUUGGUUUGUAGUUAAGUUAUCAAUAACGUGAGCUUUUUUGUUUCCUUGGGAAUGCGACGAAUUACGCGUCUUCUGUAUGAAAAAAGAAUAUAUGAAGAGGCAAUACUAGUGCAGCAUUAUCUUCCUGUUAUAACUUUGUCUUUAUUUACUUGAAUAUUCAAGCUUUCUACUUGCCUUUUUAGAGUU